GGUGGUGUAGCUCAGUGGUAGAGCACAUAUUUACCAUACAUGAGGCCCAGCAUUUGAUCCCCAGCACCACCA
RNAcentral lists this transfer RNA (72 nucleotides) under Heterocephalus glaber (naked mole-rat). It matches the Rfam family "tRNA". From Rfam's summary of the family: Transfer RNA (tRNA) molecules are approximately 80 nucleotides in length. Their secondary structure includes four short double-helical elements and three loops (D, anti-codon, and T loops). Further hydrogen bonds mediate the characteristic L-shaped molecular structure. tRNAs have two regions of fundamental functional importance: the anti-codon, which is responsible for specific mRNA codon recognition, and the 3' end, to which the tRNAs corresponding amino acid is attached (by aminoacyl-tRNA synthetases). tRNAs cope with the degeneracy of the genetic code in two manners: having more than one tRNA (with a specific anti-codon) for a particular amino acid; and 'wobble' base-pairing, i.e. permitting non-standard base-pairing at the 3rd anti-codon position. Lineage: Eukaryota; Metazoa; Chordata; Mammalia; Rodentia; Bathyergidae. The record is from Rfam by way of RNAcentral.